Molecule: ribosomal RNA, 841 nt
Filed under: Microbispora sp. LGMB255
Lineage: Bacteria; Bacillati; Actinomycetota; Actinomycetes; Streptosporangiales; Streptosporangiaceae
Description: bacterial SSU rRNA
Rfam family: Bacterial small subunit ribosomal RNA
Source: RNAcentral
GUUACACAUGCAAGUCGAAGCGGAAAGGCCUUCGGGGUACUCGAGCGGCGAACGGGUGAGUAACACGUGAGUAACCUGCCCCUGACUCUGGGAUAAGCCUGGGAAACCGGGUCUAAUACCGGAUACGACCAUUUCUCGCAUGUGAUGGUGGUGGAAAGUUUUUUCGGUUGGGGAUGGGCUCGCGGCCUAUCAGCUUGUUGGUGGGGUGAUGGCCUACCAAGGCGACGACGGGUAGCCGGCCUGAGAGGGCGACCGGCCACACUGGGACUGAGACACGGCCCAGACUCCUACGGGAGGCAGCAGUGGGGAAUAUUGCGCAAUGGGCGGAAGCCUGACGCAGCGACGCCGCGUGGGGGAUGACGGCCUUCGGGUUGUAAACCUCUUUCAGCAGGGACGAAGUUGACGUGUACCUGUAGAAGAAGCGCCGGCUAACUACGUGCCAGCAGCCGCGGUAAUACGUAGGGCGCAAGCGUUGUCCGGAAUUAUUGGGCGUAAAGAGCUCGUAGGUGGCUUGUCGCGUCUGCCGUGAAAGCCCGUGGCUUAACUACGGGUCUGCGGUGGAUACGGGCAGGCUAGAGGCUGGUAGGGGCAAGCGGAAUUCCUGGUGUAGCGGUGAAAUGCGCAGAUAUCAGGAGGAACACCGGUGGCGAAGGCGGCUUGCUGGGCCAGUUCUGACGCUGAGGAGCGAAAGCGUGGGGAGCGAACAGGAUUAGAUACCCUGGUAGUCCACGCUGUAAACGUUGGGCGCUAGGUGUGGGGGUCUUCCACGACUUCUGUNCCGUAGCUAACGCAUUAAGCGCCCCGUCCUGGGGAGUACGGGCCGGCAAAGGCUAAAUCUCAA